RNAcentral lists this ribosomal RNA (1174 nucleotides) under Trichonephila senegalensis. Its description in RNAcentral is "SSU rRNA". It matches the Rfam family "Eukaryotic small subunit ribosomal RNA", at positions 624 to 1823 of the family's 1831-position model. The record is from RNAcentral. Lineage: Eukaryota; Metazoa; Arthropoda; Arachnida; Araneae; Nephilidae.
AAAAGCUCGUAGUUGGACAUCUGCUCUGGACGCAGGGGGCCGCUCGCGUGGUCUCCCGUGCGCUCCCGGCAUUCUGCCCGCCGCCUCGGGGUUGAUUUUAACCGGUCGGCCUCGGGUGGAGGGCGGUGGUCGCUUUGCAAAAAUUAGAGUGCUCAAAGCAAGUGUUUCAAGCUUGAAUAGUAAUGCACGGAACGACGGAAGACGAUCUCGGCUCCGGGUUUGUUUGGGUCGGCGGAGACCGAGGUAAUGAUUAAUAGGAGCAGACGGGGGCAUUCGUAUUCCGACGACAGAGGUGAAAUUCUUGGACCGUCGGAAGACGACCUACUGCGAAAGCAUUUGCCAAGAAUGCUUCCCUUAACCAAGAACGAAAGUCAGAGGCUCAAAGAAGAUUAGAUACCUUUGUAGUUCUGACCCUAAACGAUGCCCGCCAGCGAUCCGGCUGCGUACKKUKUGUGACGCGCCGGGCAGCUUGCCCGGGAAACCUGAGUUCAGGCUCCGGGGGAAGUAUGGUUGCAAAGCUGAAACUUAAAGGAAUUGACGGAGGGGCACUACCAGGAGUGGAGCCUACGGCUUAAUUUGACUCAACACGGGAAAACUUACCCGGCCCGGACUCUUAGCAGAUGAACAGAUYGAUAGCUCUUUUUAGAGGUUGUGGAUGGUGGUGCAUGGCCGCAGUUGGUUCGUGGGGUGACCUGUCUGGUUAAUUCCGAUAAACGAACGAGAUUCUCGCUUGUUAACUAGGAGCGCGCAUCUCUCGCAGAUGCGACGUUCUUCUUAAAAGGACCGUCGGCUUCGAAGCCGUACGAGAGGGAGCGAUUGCAGGUCUGUGAUGCCCUUAGAUGUCCGGGGCCGCACGUGCGCUACAGUAGAGCGGACAACGUGCCRCGGWGCCUCGGCCUACUGGCCCGGGUAACCCGAGCAGUCCGUCUCAGUGCUGGGGACAGGGGAUUGUAAUUGUUCCCCUCCAACGAGGAAUUCCCAGUAGGCGCGAGUCAUUAACUCGUGCCGACUAAGUCACUGCCCUUUGUACACACCGCCCGUCGCUAUCUCCGAUUGAGCGGUGGAGUGAGGUCUUCGGACCUGCGCGUCGGUCGUCCCWCGCGGCCGAGUCGACGUGCGGGGAAGAUGCCCGAACUUGGCUGCUUAGAGGAGGUAAAAGUCGUAACAAGGUUUC